This 262-nucleotide unclassified non-coding RNA is filed under the name plant metagenome. RNAcentral's name for it is "partial contains small subunit ribosomal RNA, internal transcribed spacer 1, and 5.8S ribosomal RNA". The record is from RNAcentral.
UCUCCGUUGGUGAACCAGCGGAGGGAUCAUUACCGAGUUUACAACUCCCAAACCCCUAUGUGAACGUUACCAAACUGUUGCCUCGGCGGGAAAUUCAUGCCCCGGGCGCGUCGCAGCCCCGGACCAAGGCGCCCGCCGGAGGACCAACCAAAACUCUUUUGUAUAUCCCUCGCGGACUUUUAUAAUUCUGAACCAUCUCGGCGCCCCUAGCGGGCGUUUCGAAAAUGAAUCAAAACUUUCAACAACGGAUCUCUUGGUUCUG